GACGAACGCUGGCGGCGUGCCUAAUACAUGCAAGUAGAACGCUGAAGAGAGGAGCUUGCUCUUCUUGGAUGAGUUGCGAACGGGUGAGUAACGCGUAGGUAACCUGCCUUGUAGCGGGGGAUAACUAUUGGAAACGAUAGCUAAUACCGCAUAACAAUGGAUGACACAUGUCAUUUAUUUGAAAGGGGCAAUUGCUCCACUACAAGAUGGACCUGCGUUGUAUUAGCUAGUAGGUGAGGUAAUGGCUCACCUAGGCGACGAUACAUAGCCGACCUGAGAGGGUGAUCGGCCACACUGGGACUGAGACACGGCCCAGACUCCUACGGGAGGCAGCAGUAGGGAAUCUUCGGCAAUGGGGGCAACCCUGACCGAGCAACGCCGCGUGGGUGAAGAAGGUUUUCGGAUCGUAAAGCUCUGUUGUAAGUCAAGAACGGGUGUGAGAGUGGAAAGUUCACACUGUGACGGUAGCUUACCAGAAAGGGACGGCUAACUACGUG
RNAcentral lists this ribosomal RNA (497 nucleotides) under uncultured bacterium. Its description in RNAcentral is "partial 16S ribosomal RNA". It matches the Rfam family "Bacterial small subunit ribosomal RNA", at positions 28 to 507 of the family's 1533-position model. The record is from RNAcentral.